CAUAGCCUACGGGGCGCAGCAGUGAGGAAUAUUGGUCAAUGGGCGAGAGCCUGAACCAGCCAAGUCGCGUGAGGGAGUACUGCCCUAUGGGUUGUAAACCUCUUUUGUCGGGGAGCAAAAGCCGGACGUGUCCGGCUGUGAGAGUACCUGAAGAAAAAGCAUCGGCUAACUCCGUGCCAGCAGCCGCGGUAAUACGGAGGAUGCGAGCGUUAUCCGGAUUUAUUGGGUUUAAAGGGUGCGUAGGCGGAAUGCCAAGUCAGCGGUAAAAUCGCGGGGCUCAACCCCGUCGAGCCGUUGAAACUGGG
This 305-nucleotide ribosomal RNA is filed under the name uncultured bacterium. RNAcentral's name for it is "bacterial SSU rRNA". It matches the Rfam family "Bacterial small subunit ribosomal RNA", at positions 332 to 637 of the family's 1533-position model. The record is from RNAcentral.